AACGAACGCUGGCGGCAUGCCUAACACAUGCAAGUCGAACGAGACCUUCGGGUCUAGUGGCGCACGGGUGCGUAACGCGUGGGAAUCUACCCUUGGGUUCGGAAUAACUCAGAGAAAUUUGAGCUAAUACCGGAUGAUGUCGCAAGACCAAAGAUUUAUCGCCCAAGGAUGAGCCCGCGUAGGAUUAGCUUGUUGGUGAGGUAAAAGCUCACCAAGGCGACGAUCCUUAGCUGGUCUGAGAGGAUGAUCAGCCACACUGGGACUGAGACACGGCCCAGACUCCUACGGGAGGCAGCAGUGGGGAAUAUUGGACAAUGGGCGAAAGCCUGAUCCAGCAAUGCCGCGUGAGUGAUGAAGGCCUUAGGGUUGUAAAGCUCUUUUACCCGGGAUGAUAAUGACAGUACCGGGAGAAUAAGCCCCGGCUAACUCCGUGCCAGCAGCCG
Molecule: ribosomal RNA, 443 nt
Filed under: uncultured bacterium
Lineage: Bacteria
Description: bacterial SSU rRNA
Rfam family: Bacterial small subunit ribosomal RNA
Source: RNAcentral